AAUGUGGUUCAUGAUGCAAAACUUUUUUCCCCGUCUUAUCGACCAUGGUGAAAACAAACUGAAAUUGCCAGUUUUGUCUGAAACCACAUU
This 90-nucleotide small nucleolar RNA is filed under the name Hippocampus comes (tiger tail seahorse). RNAcentral describes it as "Small nucleolar SNORD12/SNORD106 (ENSHCOG00000004658.1)". It matches the Rfam family "Small nucleolar SNORD12/SNORD106". Rfam says of the family: This family belong to the C/D class of snoRNA which contain the C (UGAUGA) and D (CUGA) box motifs. This family includes the human ortholog of mouse snoRNA HBII-99 and human snoRNA U106. In humans both HB11-99 and U106 snoRNAs share the same host gene. Lineage: Eukaryota; Metazoa; Chordata; Actinopteri; Syngnathiformes; Syngnathidae. The record is from RNAcentral.